AAAUAAUACGUCACGGAAAACGGGAAAACACUAACAACAUUCCUCGCGUGCUAGCUCGGCGAAAUCCACCCUCCCGCAGCCCGUGAAUGCUGCCUGGCGGUUUAUGGGAAGAAGGUGCAUCUGCCAGGGAUCAGGUUUCAUCAAGGGGGGCCCGAUUGGCCGAACCUGCCUCUAAAAAUACACCAUGGCAGAUAUAACUCUGCGUCUCAUUUGGUACAAACUCGGGGAGAGCUCAAGCAAGAUGGCGGAAGCGGCAGCAACUUGGUACUCCAAGCUCCGAUGGGAAGAUCAUUUCUUGGAUAUUUUGUUGAUAGGCUGGUUUUGUUGGUGUUCAGUGAUUGUCAUUGUCAUCAACUCGUUCGUAUCUUUCGUGGGUCCUCUGCAACGUCGUCUGCCGUCGGAGACACUGCGCGUGAAGGAAGCCGGUGCUAAACCCGCCCUACCCAAGGGCCCCGGUAUUGAGACCUGUCAAUGGUUUAACACUGCACUAAACUGGUUCUAUCUACACUAUUACCAUUCUGCGGACUUCUUGGACGAAUGGAUUAAGUCACUCAAUGAACAGAUGACCAAACUAGGGGGUCCUGUGCAGACAAAGUUUGAGAGGAUCCAGGCUGGGAGUCUGCCGCCCAAGUUCGGAGAAAUCUCCUGCGAGGCCACACCAGAAGACAAGUUUGUCAUCCAUGUCCGUGUGGAUUCCAAGGAUCUGGCGUUUGUCAUCUUCUGCUCUCAACAAACUCAUGAAGGGGUCAAACUCACCAACUGCACCGCCACUGUCUUCCGGCUCCGAGGAACGCUGCUGGUUCAAUCGUUCAAGGAUGCGGGAGAGGUGAAGGUCAACGUUGCAUUUGACGGGCGUCCCGACAUCAAGGUCAAUGUCAAACCAACCAACCCAUAUCAGGACGAUGACGAUCCGUCGGACAUGGUGGACAUCGGCGUGGUGGAGGAGCUCGUGCGUCAGGCAAUCUGUAUGACCACCACCACAUUCACCAUCACCCACCUCCUCGCCCCGGACACCCGGGGACAGUCCAAGCGCCACUCCGACCACGACCGCGGCUCGGGACAAGGUCAAGUGCCCAACAUGAGCCAAGGCUACUCCCAGAUGCCUCAGAUGAACGAGGGCAACUUUGAGCGCCGUAUGCCCCAGACACACGGUGGUGCACCCAUGCAGAGCAUGCACGUGCAGAGCACGCAGCUGCAGAGCUCCCCGAAGCGCCAUGCCGCGCCCCAGCCCCCCGUCUCUGCUGUGCACUCUCCCCCCAAGUCAGAGGCUCUUUUCGUGCCCAUCGAGGCAAGCCAGUACCAAAGUGCUUUUCAGACCCCCGUGUCGCAGGCCACGGACGUGCCGCCCAAACCUCCACGCUCCACUGCUGACAAGCGCCUCCUGGUCAAGGUCAUCAAGGCCAACGGAGUCGGCGCCAAGGAAAUCGGUGGUUUAAAUUUUCUAGGUUCAGUGAACCCUGUUGUGUUGCUGCUGAUGGACGACCCAAUCCAGAACCACUCCACCAGCGUCGUCAGGAACGCCAGCAACCCCUUCUGGGACGAGAGCUUUCUCUUUGACGUCACGCAGCACAGCAACGAGCUUCGCUUCGAGGUGUUUGACAAGACCAAGCAGCCUGGAGAGGACUUCCUGGGGGAGACGACUGUGUACAUGAGCGACCUCCGCCUGACCCCCAGCAGUCGCCAGAUCCUCGCCCUGCAGAGUCGCCCCGGCAACUUGGACUCCAUCAGUGGCUCCCUCACAGUGGAGUUUCUGUUCAUGGAUUCGGCGGAGGCAGAGAUGAUGAUGGGGAUGUCGUCCGCUCCCAAUAGCCAGGUGUCCCCCAAACGCCGCAUCGAGACGGAGCGCACCAUCACCCCAGGUGGUACUGUCAUCACUACCACAACCACGACCACACAUCGACCUCAGUUCGGCCCGCCCCAACCAGGGCCAGAUGGACACACCCCCAGCCUGGUGGAGAAGCAUCAUCACUCUAACCCGGACCUCGACUCGUCGUCCACCCUCAGCGCCGACUCCCCGUACUUCCCCGGGGACCAGUCAUUGUCAGCAUCUGCGUCAUCAGAGUUGAUUGUAAUUAAUGGAGUGGAGUCCGUGACAGAGGCAGCCAUCAGGGAAUUGAAGGAUCAGUCGCGGAGGCCUCGCACUCCAACCAAAACUAGCACGCUUAUAAUAACCGGCGUCAAGCGGGAGCCGGUAGUCCCUGUCAUCAAGACUAUAGAGAGUUCUCCCACAGAGGAGGGGGGUGACAUCGCCGUCACCAACGCUGCCCCGGACAAGGCUGUAGAGAAAGAAAAGAAGAAAAGUUCGUUUGGGGAAGCGAUAAGGAAGCGUUUUGGUCGCAAGAAGCGAUCGCAAAGUGCUGAUCGAGCUGCGACCAGUUUGAAAGAAGGCGCAAACUAUCUCCGCCCCCCAGAGCAAACUUACGGCCCUCAAUCUAAAGAUGAUAUGGAACUCGUGCGGUCCCAGGACCCCGCAAAAUCACCCAACUUGAAGAAGUCCCGCUCACUAGGAGGUAGCUUAAAGAAACUUUUCCGGCGCAGCAGAAAAAGGUCAAAGUCUCGUGGAGAGUCAUCACGUGAUAGCUCUUUUUCAAGGUCAUCUGAUCGCCGAGCAGGCUCUCAAAAUCCUUCCAGGGAUAGUUCGUUAAACAGACAUUCAGCGCAUCAAAGGGCCGCCUCUACUUCCUGAAGCCACACCCCCUCCAAAUCUAAUUUUAAUAUUAAUAUAUUUUGUACAAAAAAACCUGAAUUAAUGCUAAGCACAAAUUGGCUGCAUGACCUUUCAAGGAUGCUGUUACAAGUUUUCAACAGCCUUGACCUUAGAGGUUCAAGGUCAUAUUUCAUUGACCUUUUGUUAUAAUGUCAAAAGUAAUAUUUUCAAGGUGAUCCUUGCUUGUCUUUUUCGACCUUGAAUGGCCUUGUGAUAUUCCCAAUGACCUCAUUCUAUCAAAAUGCUCAAACGACCUUUAAGGUCAGAUGCAUACUAUCUGGUCAUGUGUUUAUGGAAAUUAAUAUCAUGUCACGUAAUAGUGUUUCUGAUAGGUCAUGUGCCACUUAAUGCUGUUUCUGAUUGGUCAUUUGCCAGAAAGACUCUUGUAGAUGUGUGGAAAUAAUAUGUACAGACUGUCUUGUGUAGUAUGUGCAUUUCAUAUAGCUUUAUGAUUCCAGUUUUACUGCUCUCACAAUCAGUUGCAGCCGUAUUUGCGUAAAAACCCUGGGUAGGAAGUCUUACCUCUGAAACACUUGCUUCUUCCUUCCUAGCUGAGCUGAAACAUGAAACAUGGACAGACAUGUCAAGCUUUGUGUCGCCGUCAAACCUGAAUAUUGUGAUCAGAGACAGUUAUGGAUGCCUUUCGGUCAUGUCUAUUUUACCCAAAUCAAGAAAAUGGAGACCUCUCAGUAAAGUGCUACGCAACUAGUUCAAUUGGGUCGAUGCUACAUUCUCUCACAGAUGUGGAUCAGGAGUGUCUUGACAAGUUACAGGCGUGUGUUAGUAGAACUGAGUAGGUUUCCUGAUAACUAGUUACAGACGUGUGUUAGUAGAACUGAGUAGAUUUCCUGAUAACUAGUUACAGACUUGUGUUAGUAGAACUGAGCAGAUUUCCUGACAACUAGUUACAGGCAUGUGUUAGUAGAACUGAGUAGGUUUCCUGACAACUAGUUACAGACGUGUGUCACUAGAUGGGAGUAGGUUUCCUGAUAACUAGUUAUAAAUGUGUGUCAGUAGAUCGGAGUAGGUUGCCUGAUAACUAGUUACAGACGUGUGUCACUGGAUCGGAGUAGGUUGCCUGACAACUAGUUACAGACGUGUGUCACUAGAUCGGAGUAGGUUUCCUGACAACUAGUUACAGACGUGUGUCACUGGAUCGGAGUAGGUUUCCUGACAACUAGUUACAGACGUGUGUCACUAGAUCGGAGUAGGUGUCCUAACAAAUAGUUUCAGACGUGUGUCAGUAGAUCGGAGUAGGUUUCCUGACAACUAGUCAUUGACAUUUCGGAGCACAAGUGAUACGAUUGGUAAUUCUAAUUACUAAGGGAACUAGACACUGUUUUUAGGCUUUUACACUUUUCUACAUUUGCCCCCAGUUUUGAAACAUACUGGUCAUAGAACACCAUGGCAGGGGAGCUUGGACCAGGAGUCCUGGCAUGUUCUGUUAGAACUCACUCACUCACUCACUCACAAUAUUCAAGUUUUGGGGUAUUGAUUCUUACAGCUUUGAGUUGAAAGUCUUCGUCUUCGUCCCUCAUGUCGCACUCUCUGUAGUGUUGUCCAUGUUGCCAUAGUGUAGCUGUAGCUGUAGCUGUAGCUGUGUCAUCAUCUCAUUGUGCUGACAGUCUCACUACAGUGCUGUGUAGUACAGGAUCUAUGUUAUCCUUCUUCAGAACUAUGGUGUCAGUUAAUGUACUUUAUGGCAAAAUGAUAUCAUUUGCAAGAACACUGUUAUUUAGUUGAAUGCUUCAUGCGACGGUCACAAUGACUCAUCUUGCAACAUAAUAACAAUGUCAGGGACAGUAGCAACCAUGUUACUGUCAGUAAUAACAUUGUUAUUUCCUGCAAGAGCUAUGGUAUUGUCAGUAAUAACAUUGUUAUUUCCUGCAAGAGGCAUGUCAUUGUCAGUAAUAAUGUUAUUUCCUGCAAGAGCUAUGGUAUUGUCAGUAAUAACAUUGUUAUUUCCUGCAAGAGGCAUGUCAUUGUCAGUAAUAAUGUUAUUUCCUGCAAGAGCUAUGGUAUUGUCAGUAAUAAUGUUAUUUCCUGCAAGAGGCAUGUUAUUGUCAGUCAUAAUGUUAUUUCCUGCAAGAGGCAUGUUAUUGUCAGUAAUAACAUUGUUAUUUCCUGCAAGAGGCAAGUUAUUGUCAGUAAUAACAUUGUUAUUUCCUGCAAGAGGCAUGUUAUUGUCAGUAAUAACAUUGUUAUUUCCUGCAAGAGGCAUGUUAUUGUCAGUAAUAACAUUGUUAUUUCCUGCAAGAGGCAAGUUAUUGUCAGUCAUAAUGUUAUUUCCUGCAAGAGCGAUGUCAUUGUCAGUAGUAACACUGUUAUUUUCUGCAAGAGCUGUGUUAUUUAGGCAGGGGUAAGCGCCACCUGGUGUGAUGUGAUAGAAGGCUGGCUGUAGUCAGCCUGUGUUUGAGGCUGUGUGGAACCCUUGAGCGCUGUACAUGACCCUGGAAGGUAUAUGGUAGGCUUUAGACUCCUUCUUAGUAAACCGUUACGCAUGAUGCCAGUAUUGAAGAAAUUCUAGUCCGUCACAAUCAGCAUCUUAAACCUCACAAGAAAAAGGAAAUUGAAAAUUUGACGAUUGUGCGAGGUACUAUGAACUGGGUGAUUUUGUGGCCGAAGUUGGACAUGUGUUGGCCCCCUGUUAGCCUCUUCCUUCCUACAUUCGAUCCCAAAAGUCACCAUUCAUAGCGUGUCGUCGUCUUUCUCGUGACAGUCUGGAACAAGAGAACAGAGUUCAAUUCUUGUUGAAAAUUGAAAAUGUUUGACAUGCUAGAAGAUCAAAUUUGAAGAUGUUUCAUGUCUUGGUAUUCUACCAACUUCUUAAUGCCAACCAAAGACUUCUGCGUGCAAUUUGUUUACAAAAGUUUGAAUCGUUCAAUUUUCCUUUUUUCUGUAUCAAUAUCUUGGCAUUUGAUUAUGUGUGGUACUGAUUUGAAGAUAUAAGACUGAGGAAGCUGUACGAGUGUGAGAUGAAUGGCUGUCUGACGAUCCUCCAUUGAUGUUAGGGAUCUACCCACGAUUUGACCAUUGUGUUCAAAUGCUCAAUUUUGAUUUUUACGCUUUUUGGAAUUGUGCACUUCUCUGUGUUGUUUUUUUAUUCUUUUUUUAAAAUAUAGAAUAGCACUAAAACCAAGCAUGUUUUCUCACCAUCUGAUUUCCCGGAGAUAAACUGUAGAGACUGAUGAGGCUGAAAAGAAACUGGUUGGGGUUGUCUGAGAAUACAGAGCUUCAGCAGCUGGGACAUCGUCAUUCUGUUUCCAUGGUUACCUUGCUGUUUCCAUGGCGAUCAUUUUGUAUGAUGUUUUUAAGACAUCGUAUUCAGUUUUGAAGGAAAUAGGAAUGUGAGAAAAGUGCUUGUUAGCUCUUUUUUAUGAAUUUUACUUUACUUUUGAAUGUUGUGUGAGAUGGGAGUAGCUGGUGAUCAGUGAGGAAUACACAGGGGAACUGUGAGACGUACGUACAUGAGACAGGGAAGGGCAAACUAGUACCUGCUUCUCAAAUGAAAGAGAAGACCCCAUUAUGAGGUCGUAUGUACCCCAUUACGAGGUCGUAUGUACCACAUUAUGGGGUCACAUGUAAUCCAUUACGAGGUCACAUGUACCCCAUUUUGAGGUCACGUGUACCCCAUUACGAGGUCACAUGUAAUCCAUUAUGAGGUCACACGUACCCCUAACGAGGUCACAUGUACCCCAUUUUGAGGUCACGUGUACCCAAUUACGAGGUCACGCGUACCCCAUUACAAGUUCGCAAUGUACCCCAUUUUGAGGUCACGUGUACCCCAUUACGAGGUCACAUGUACCCCAUUUCAAGGUCAUGUGAUAAACGUUAUCUUUUGUUGUUUUGGAAAGUUAAGAGUUAAAUGUAUCACUAUGUAAAGUUUUGAAGAAAAAUGAUAAAAAAUCAUAAGUAAGCAAUUUAGAAAAUGACAAUAUUUACACAAUAAGUUGAUGCUUUCAUUCCAUCAAGGGAGACAACUGGAAGUGAACUGUAGCGAAAGGCUCGGGAAAACAUCGUCCUCAUUAUCAUCUGGCUGUCUUGUCCAUAUACUACUGGUUAUUGAAAUCAAUUCAAAACUCCAAAAUCUGUCAAAAAAUACAUAAAUUAUUUAAUUUUAUUUUGAAAAUUUUUCUUGCAAAAUAUACAUAUUUUGGGACAGACAGCAAAAUUGUCAAUUUGAAUGGACCCCCAGUAUUACAAAGCCAAAAUACAAGUGCAAUAUAGACUUUUAACAUGACGGUGUGAUAUUUAUAUUUAUACAAGUGUAGUGUCUAGAUGGAAUGCUUAAUGUCAAGUUUGUACGGCUGUACUAGUGGCAGUGUGAUAUUAAUUAUUGUAGAUAGCUAUUUGGUACAAUAUUGUUAAAUGACUUUGUGACUUUUUUUGUAUUACUAAAGGGACGUGGACGUCUUGUGUGCACUGAGCAGUCCAUUUCUGCUUGACCCUGCUGCCUCUAACACUGUUUGCUGGGAGUGUUAUGUGAAAAUAUGUCAUAAAUGCUGUUAUGUUGAAGAAUAUGUUCAAAGGUGCAAUUUCAGUUUUGAUUGAAACUAUUUGAAAUUUCAAAUUUUGAAAUCUGAAAAUCUCCCUCUAUCAUAUUUGGAUUUUUAGGUGACCGUCUAUGAAAAUGUUGAUGAAUAAUAUUGCCACGUUUGGUUACAUUUCUUUCAAUAAAAGGGAUGUAACGUGUUUAUGUUUAAGAACUAACGGGCCUAGUGGUUAAAGCAUUUGCUCGUCACGCCAAAGACGUUCUGGAAUAAUUCUAAAAGCGGCGUAAAACCGUACUCACUCACUCACUAAAGAACUAACCUACCACUAGAUCCAUGGUAAUCAAUCUGUGAUCGCAAAGCUGAACUUGCUCCUCUGUGUUUGUUAAAUGCUGAACAUUUGAUGAAAAUUAAUCUAUGCAAGAGGACGUCAUCGUUUCCUUGGCAACACUGAAUAUUUUCUACACCAAUCAAACAGCAGCUGCCGAUUGUGUUUAACCUUCAUAGAUCAAAACUUCUUUCGUCGAAGUGUCACUCCUUUGUCAAAGACACUUCACAUUUUCGAAAGAAAUAUUUCUCCCUGUUACAAAAAAAUAGCAAAAUCCUCAUCGUCUGGCUUUUCAUGUUUUUCUGAUCGUGCCAGUGGUUGCCGCGGGUAGACAGUGGUUGCUGGGCAGAGCCAGCAGUGGCACUAGCUGGCCGGUACCGAAAGUUAGAGACAACUAGAUGCACCAGGUGCUGUAGUCUGGAUAAUCAAGAUAUCCACCUUAAUGAAGAUCUCAUGGGGAGUUGUGGAGAUCUAAGGGGAGCUUGUAGAGGUCUAAGGGAGAUCUAGGGGGAGACUGCAAAGAUCUAAGAUUGUAGAGAUCUUGGGGGAGAUUGCAAAGAUCUAGGAUUGUAGAGAUCUAGGUGGAGAUCUAGGGGAGAUUGUGGAGAUCUAGGGGAGAUUGUGGAGGCAAGGCAAUAUUCUGGAGAUGUUUGUGGGCACAUUGUGGAAGUGUUGGAAUCUCAACAGGUUCUCUAUGAUCACAUCGGAAUUCUGAAGUGAUCGUGUGUGGAUUCUGUUAAGGUCUGACGGGGAAUUCCAAUGUGUGUGAGAAUUCCGCGAUGUUUUGGAGAUCUGUAGGCAGUGUUACAUCAGUCUGACAACAGUGCACAUUAGAAUAAAACUGUCGAAAAACAA
RNAcentral lists this unclassified non-coding RNA (8380 nucleotides) under Haliotis rufescens (red abalone). Its description in RNAcentral is "uncharacterized LOC124117292, transcript variant X16". Lineage: Eukaryota; Metazoa; Mollusca; Gastropoda; Lepetellida; Haliotidae. The record is from RNAcentral.